GAGAGCGGGGCUGAAAGUGCCGGGGGUAAAUUGUGCCGUCGCGAAUAUCUCAAAAACAGAAAGAGAUAGAUAUACGAUCGUAUUGUGUCGCGUAAGGCCUAACAGUCGCGCACACGCGGCUGCCAUUUUAGUUGCGUCAGCGACGCGGACCGAGUCGUACUGCAUGUGAGGGUCCUCCAGCGCCACUAUUGUUUAUAUUUACGCGAGCAAUUAUGAAAGAAAGAAAAUACUUUUGGACAUAUUUAUAAAGUCAAAUUAUAUGGGCAGCAAUGUUGAGAUUGAGACUAGUCCAUCAAUACUACAGGAACAUCCUGGGCCAAGCGACUGCAGCGUUGAGUGUACAAGAGCACCAUCAGGUAAUCAAGAGCAAGAGACACGUCAGUGCUCUCCGGAACCUAUCCCUUGCUGCAGUUUCCAGCCUCCUCAAUCAGUUGAUAAUAACACAGGAGAUAAAAAUGCAGCAGUUUUCUCACCAGAGCUAAUAAGACCACUGCCUAAAGCACCUCCCCGACUAAUUGGACAUACUAAAGCACGUAAAAGAAAGACAGCUGUUCUUACGGACACUCCAGAGAAAAAUGCUUUAGCGGAAGAACAGGCUAGUAAAAAGAAGAAAAAAGAAAGCGAAACUAAAAAGAAGGUUAAGGGAAAAGGGACGGGAAAAUGCAAGGGAAA
This is a long non-coding RNA of Helicoverpa armigera (cotton bollworm), 672 nucleotides long. RefSeq lists it as uncharacterized. The transcript is spliced from 2 exons. The record is from RefSeq and is a predicted model, not a curated record. NCBI's taxonomy places the organism in Eukaryota, Metazoa, Arthropoda, Insecta, Lepidoptera, Noctuidae.